AUGGCCGAGCUCGCCGCGCGCGCCGUCCAGUCGCUGCUGGGCGUGAUCCGCGAUGAGGCCCGUCUCCUGUGCCGCGUGAAGACCGACGUGAAGUUCAUCAUGGAGGAGAUGGAGAGCAUGAACAGCUUCCUGGUGCACCUCAGCAAGAGGAAGAGGCACGGGGAGCCGGUCCUCACGUGGAUGAAUCAGGUGCGGAAGCUCGCCGACGACUACAGCGAGAGCAUAGAGCACUACCUACUCUGUGGCAAACCGGUGGUGUACCAUGAGCUACCUGGGCUACAUCUUCUCAUGGGUUCCCUGUACAUGAAGAUGGCGGCUCAGCACAAGGCCGCCAUCCAGCUGCGCGAGCUCAAGGACCGUGCGCGCGACAUCGCCGACCGACGGCUGAGGUACGAAGUCCACAUCCCCAUGCUGCCCGGAGACGUCACAGCACCACCGGCAUCAGCAGCCACCGUUACUGGAGGGUCAACGCCGUCGUCUCAACUCGUCAUAGGAGAGGGCGAAGAAGAGGAGCAUGAGGAGGAAGAUAAAGAUGAUGAUGAUGGGGCCAAAGAAAUGGAUCAUCGCUUUGUAAGGAGCUACGUCGAGCCUUCCACUAACGAUGAGUGCAGGAAUGAGCUGGUCGACUGUUUCCUCUACGCCCCUUACACCCAAGAUGGCCGCGACAACAACAACGACAGCCGCAGAAGCAAUAAAUUCAGAUCCAUCGCCAUUGUAGCACCCAAACAGAAGGAUGGUGUUGAAGUUGCGACUGGUGCUAUUGCUGUUGCCGUCCCCAAGGACAGGUUCGAGUCUAUGUUCCGAGUCAAUGUCAUGGAGGAGGACAUGAUGAGAUUGCCAGCCUUACCAGCAGGGCCACUGUGUUGGGACAAACCUGGUCCGGCGACGAACGCCGAGUGCCUCCGACGGCACGACCGCCGGAGGAACCUCUCUCUGUCUCUCUCGCUCGAACGGAGAUAG
This 960-nucleotide ribosomal RNA is filed under the name Triticum aestivum (bread wheat). RNAcentral describes it as "partial small subunit ribosomal RNA". The record is from RNAcentral. Lineage: Eukaryota; Viridiplantae; Streptophyta; Magnoliopsida; Poales; Poaceae.